RNAcentral lists this ribosomal RNA (245 nucleotides) under uncultured bacterium. RNAcentral describes it as "partial small subunit ribosomal RNA". It matches the Rfam family "Bacterial small subunit ribosomal RNA", at positions 26 to 285 of the family's 1533-position model. The record is from RNAcentral.
AGAAUCAACGCUGGCGGCGUGCCUAACACAUGCAAGUCGAACGAGAAAGUGGAGCAAUCCAUGAGUAAAGUGGCGCACGGGUGAGUAACACGUGACUAACCUACCUUUUAGUGGGGGAUAACCUAGGGAAACCUGGGCUAAUACCGCAUAAUACCUACGGGUCAAAGCAGCAAUGCGCUGGAAGAGGGGGUCGCGGUCGAUUAGUUAGUUGGCAGGGUAAUGGCCUACCAAGACUGUGAUCGAUA